RNAcentral lists this ribosomal RNA (305 nucleotides) under uncultured bacterium. RNAcentral's name for it is "bacterial SSU rRNA". It matches the Rfam family "Bacterial small subunit ribosomal RNA", at positions 334 to 655 of the family's 1533-position model. The record is from RNAcentral.
AUCUCCCUACGGGAGGCAGCAGUGGGGAAUAUUGGACAAUGGGGGGAACCCUGAUCCAGCGACGCCGCGUGAGUGAAGAAGUAUUUCGGUAUGUAAACUUCUCUCAGCAGGGAAGAAAAUGACGGUACCUGACUAAGAAGCCCCGGCUAACUACGUGCCAGCAGCCGCGGUAAUACGUAGGGGGCAAGCGUUAUCCGGAUUUACUGGGUGUAAAGGGAGCGUAGGCGGUUUAGCAAGUCAGAAGUGAAAGCCCGGGGCUCAACUCCGGGACUGCUUUUGAAACUGUUGAACUAGAUUGCAGGAGG